CAGUCGCCGCGGUAAUACGAAGGGUGCAAGCGUUAAUCGGAAUUACUGGGCGUAAAGCGCACGCAGGCGGUUUGUUAGGUCAGAUGUGAAAUCCCCGAGCUUAACUUGGGAACUGCAUUUGAAACUGGCAAGCUAGAGUCUUGUAGAGGGGGGUAGAAUUCCAGGUGUAGCGGUGAAAUGCGUAGAGAUCUGGAGGAAUACCGGUGGCGAAGGCGGCCCCCUGGACAAAGACUGACGCUCAGGUGCGAAAGCGUGGGGAGCAAACAGGAUUAGAUACCCCGGUAGUCCCUGUCUCUUAUAC
RNAcentral lists this ribosomal RNA (301 nucleotides) under uncultured bacterium. RNAcentral describes it as "partial 16S ribosomal RNA". It matches the Rfam family "Bacterial small subunit ribosomal RNA", at positions 509 to 807 of the family's 1533-position model. The record is from RNAcentral.